GUUUCAGGGCGGGGUGAAAUUCCCCACCGGCAGUGAUGCGCAAGCGAGUCUGCGAGCCUUUAACAAGGGCAGAUCUGGUGAGAAUCCAGAACCGACGGUACAGUCCGGAUGAAAGAAA
Molecule: non-coding RNA, 118 nt
Filed under: uncultured Pseudoramibacter sp.
Lineage: Bacteria; Bacillati; Bacillota; Clostridia; Eubacteriales; Eubacteriaceae
Description: FMN riboswitch (RFN element)
Rfam family: FMN riboswitch aptamer (RFN element)
About the family: The RFN element is a highly conserved domain that is found frequently in the 5'-untranslated regions of prokaryotic mRNAs that encode for flavin mononucleotide (FMN) biosynthesis and transport proteins.
Source: RNAcentral